This 30-nucleotide non-coding RNA is filed under the name Mus musculus (house mouse). The record is from RNAcentral. Lineage: Eukaryota; Metazoa; Chordata; Mammalia; Rodentia; Muridae.
UGGGUGUCACUUGGACUUGUUCCAGGAAUU